RNAcentral lists this ribosomal RNA (623 nucleotides) under uncultured bacterium. Its description in RNAcentral is "bacterial SSU rRNA". It matches the Rfam family "Bacterial small subunit ribosomal RNA", at positions 239 to 872 of the family's 1533-position model. The record is from RNAcentral.
UAUCAGCUUGUUGGUGGGGUAAUGGCCUACCAAGGCGACGACGGGUAGCCGACCUGAGAGGGUGAUCGGCCACACUGGGACUGAGACACGGCCCAGACUCCUACGGGAGGCAGCAGUGGGGAAUAUUGCACAAUGGGCGCAAGCCUGAUGCAGCGACGCCGCGUGAGGGAUGACGGCCUUCGGGUUGUAAACCUCUUUCACCAGGGACGAAGCGUGAGUGACGGUACCUGGAGAAGAAGCACCGGCCAACUACGUGCCAGCAGCCGCGGUAAUACGUAGGGUGCGAGCGUUGUCCGGAAUUACUGGGCGUAAAGAGCUCGUAGGCGGUUUGUCGCGUCGUCUGUGAAAUUCUGCAACUCAAUUGUAGGCGUGCAGGCGAUACGGGCAGACUUGAGUACUACAGGGGAGACUGGAAUUCCUGGUGUAGCGGUGAAAUGCGCAGAUAUCAGGAGGAACACCGGUGGCGAAGGCGGGUCUCUGGGUAGUAACUGACGCUGAGGAGCGAAAGCGUGGGGAGCGAACAGGAUUAGAUACCCUGGUAGUCCACGCCGUAAACGGUGGGUACUAGGUGUGGGACUCUUUUCACGGGUUCCGUGCCGUAGCUAACGCAUUAAGUACCCCGC